UUUUUUUUUUUGGCUAAAUACAUAGAUGCAUGGUUAGAUCUAGUUGGAUGGAUGGAUAUAUAAUAAGGAAAUGUUUUAAGCAUCCGAUCUGUUGAAUAAUCUUUGAUUUCUCUCACUGUUUCAGCUCAAGCUAAGUUCUAUAUAAUUAUGCCUGGGUAUAUAUUGGAUUUGUUGCCUUUUGACUAGCUCUGCAAACCCAAUCAAAGUCCUUGAAUUGUCUAAUCCGCUUGAUUCAAUUAGAUAAUUAAUUCAUCGAUCCAAGUCCAGAUGAAAAAGGGAGAAAGCCCGUUUGAUUUUGCAACAAUGGGUGGAUGAUUGAUAUAUAUUGGAUUUGUAGGGAGCGUAGAUACACUUGCACUUAGAGAGGAUAUUAAUUGCAAUUGAUUUAUAUUGGUGACCUAAGCUAAAUAUUAUAAUAUCAUUGUAAUUGGUUUAUUAGCUAUUUUUUCAUUUAUGAUUCCAAGUCAAACAGAUACAAAAAACAAGGUUAGUGGACCAUUUUUACAGGAAAACAAUUUGUACAGAUAACCUUAGUUAGGGAUUAAAUCAGGAAUACAAUUGAGAAAGAAGGAAAGAAGUUAACUGUAAUAGUGUUCAUGGAUGCCUGCCCCCAAAGCAGCUCAUGUAUACACGUUCAAACACGCAGGCUCUGGUCAUAAGCGGCGCCGAGGUUCUGUUCAACCAUCAUCAUCUAGAGCUGGGAAGAAAUCCAAACAGGAGAUCGACAAAGAUUACCGUGAGAGAAAGAAGGUAAGUAGCCAGCCAAAUAUUACCCCUCUCUAGUACUCCAUUGUGGUGAUUUUCUUUUUUUUUUCUUUCCCUCAUACAUAACUCAUAUUCAUUUCUUUUCCUAAUCUAAUUUGCAGGAAGGGGUGGAAAGACUGAACGCAGAGGUGGAAGAACGUAAGAGAAGCAAUUCCCACCUUGAAGGACGAGUAUUUGAGUUGAGAGAGUUACAGGUGAAAACUGACGAAAACUUGAAGGAAGCUAGAGAAGAAAUUUUCAACCUGAAGAACGUGCAAAAGAGUCAAAGUGAUUCUAUACUUCAACUAGAGAAGGUGGUAUUUUCUCUUCAUACACUAUAAACUGAUCUUUUCACAAAACUUAGGACGAGUAUAUAUAUAUAUGUAAAAAUCAUAACUCUAUAUCUAAAAAUUUUAAACGACAAAUUGGAUUGAUUAAUUUUUAGAUCAAAUUUAUACAUGAUUGAAUUCCAUGUAUAUAUAUAUGUCACUUGUGCCGCACCGUGAAAUGCUGUUACGAUUCCAUUUGGUUUAAAUCUGGGAACCUUUUCAUAGUAAAUUAUAUUUGUAUGCAUUAUUGAGUAUACAUUAUUGAUGAGUAAACUUUAUGACUCUCAUGCUUACAAAUAUAAACUUUAACUAGAAAAUUUGCGUACAUGAUCUUUUUGAAAGCAGAUGUAGAUGAUUAGUACUCACUCCUCAAUAGAAAAAUUACAUUUUGUCUCAUAUGAUAUCCAUUAAUUUCGUCAACACACUUUUUGCAGGAGCUGAUGGCCUCAGGUGAAAAGAUUAAGGCCUUAAAAGAGGAACAUGAACGGCAGAUGAGGGUGUGCACCUCGUAUCACUUAGACAUGAGAAAUAUUUGUUAUUCUGAGAACGCCGGAGAGAUGGUAAUGCAGCACUAAAAGCUCUCAUUUCUUUAUUUAAGUACAUUCUAUCAUAUAAAAUCAUUUGAGGGGAUGCAGUAGAAAGUUCAAAAGAGCUGGGUCUCAUCAACAGGUUUAAAUUUCUGCAUAGAGAUGCUUAUUAGAGUUUUCUUUUUUACUAUGGUGUUGUGUAUGUUUCAAACUUAGUUAUGACAUAAUAUAAAAUUAGGUUUUAAUCCUUAUACGGUAGUUGAAGUUUUUAAAUUAAGAUGAUUUUUAAAUAUUCUUUUACAAAAUCCAUUCAUUCUCUUUUUCUUCUUGUUAAUCUGUCAUACUAUCAAUAUUCUAACUGUUCUAUGAACAAUAUUGCUCACAGAACAACCCCAUGGAGACACGACCUGCCGCUGCUCAGGCCACCACCAACUUCUAAUUCAACUCUGACCACUUCGCAUCCCAAAUGGCGUAACUCAGCAAGACAUGUAGGAGGGGUCAACAUUCUGAACUACUAAACCCUUAUUUUAUAUUUUCGAGUUUGGAUUCCCUAAGGCCUUAGCUUGUGCUUUUUUUUUUUUUUUUUGAGUAAAAACAUAUUUUUAUAGCUUUUAAAGGUAUGGUUAGGUGUGAUUUAUGCUUAAAAUAUAUUGUAUCUUUUAAAAAAAACCACCACACAGAAGCUAAACACCUUUAAGAGGCAUGAAUAAUUGCAGGAUGGACACCUUCUUUGUGAGACAAUGUGGUAUUUUAUCAUAUGGGCUGGGCUCAGCCUAUUGGAUAUUCUCUUUGUUAUGCAACCUAUUUAGUUUGCCUCAGGUAUUUCUUCCUUUGUGCUUUAUAUGUGUGUUUUUUUCCCUUAAGAUUCGUGACUUCGAGUGUUUUCAUGGAAUGAAUCAUACCCCUUUCAUAGCCGAUGCGUAAUUAACUCCAAUAAUCUCCCUCACACAUGUUAGGUCUUGUGUUCAAGCCCUGGCGUACUGUAAGGUCCAGACCUGUUAGCAAACUUGGACUAUUCUCCUCCUCAAAAACUAACUUACAAGGUUCCACUUGUAAUCUCUUCUACAACUCCUUUCACAUAAUAAUACGUUUAGGUAAGAUUUUAAUAUAUAUAUAUAUAUAUAUAUAUAUAUAUAUAUGUCAAGUUUAAAAUAAUUAGGGCUUAAGCCGAAUUGAGUAUAGGCCAACGAGUUAAUUGUCACAAACCGAGUCUUAAAUUUUCAUGCUCCUAUUAAGACUAACCAGUGAAGAUCUCCAGAUAUUUUUAUUUUUUAUUCUACGGUAAAGGGUAUUUAAAGAUUUUUUCUUGCAUAUUUUUCGUAUUGAAUUGGUGUAUUUAAAAAGAUUCAAUACAUUUCUGUAAAUGUUAGUCAAAGCAAAAAUAAAAAGCUUCCUUGACUAUAAAAGCAACCGGAUCACCUUUAAAAUCCCAAGUACCUGUUAUACGUAAAAAUUAAUUAAGAAGAAAUGAAGUCUGCGAAAAGAAAAAUGAGCCGAAGUUACUUAUAUAAUAAGUAACAGGUUGUUUUCCUAAUUUUAUUUUUUAUUAACAUGAAUUUUUAGAUCAGCUUGUGCUAAGAUAUGGAUAAAAAAAUGUUAUUUGUUUAGAUAUCUUUAUGUGUGUAAUUUCUUAUAAGAAUUUCUAUAUUAUUUUGUAAAUAUUUGAUAUUUGGUAAUUGAAUGCUAAUUUAUAAGAUGUAUAUACGAUUGUUUUUUUUAUUUAACAAAAAAUUGUAUUAACAGCGAAUUCAAGCGUGCGUGCGUGUAUAUUAUUUGUGUGUGUGGUGUAAAACUAGUAUCAAAUUUCACUUUGGAUGCCAUAAAAUUAAAACCUUAAUAUAUAUCAGAGAUGGAAAAAAUAUGCAAAUUGUCAAUCCAAUCAAUUUACAAAUCAAUGUUUCUAACCAUUGAGCUAGAUAUAAUUAAAACUUGGCCUCUGGUUAGUGUAAGUGUUAAAGGAAAUUAAAGAAAAUCAAACCAGUUCAGGAAACCAAGAAAAGCAAGGAGAGGAAUCUGCAGAAUAAAGUUGCAGCCACUGUCAAUUAAUGUAGAUUGAUUUGUUUGUUAUUUGUUUCCUCGCUUGUAAACAAGCCAAGCUUAAUUAUAGGAAGCAUAAUAGGAUUCUGAUGCUAUGAUGACAAUAUAAAGGGCUGUAAUAUUUGUUUUAAUACAAAAGCUCUGUUUCAAUUCUGUUUUAGUAAGUGUUCAAAGAAUCUAUAAAAUAAUAUUAGGGUAGUGAGAAUUUCAAUAAUUGAAGCUAAAGGUGUUAGGACAAUUUGCAUUUUUUUUUUAAAUUAACGUGGAUGUCCGGGUCAGUUUACGCAUCUUCCAACUAAUUUAAUGGACCUUGAAGUUAACGAUCAUAUAAACAUCUAAUAACAAUCAUAUUAACAAUCACAUUAUUCAAAUCUAAAAUUACAAGAAAAACAAACUUUUGAUUUUAAAUUUUUAUUACUAGACCAGCUACUAUUUAUAUUUAGUAAAAAAAAAACAUUUAUAAAUGCAAUGCUUGUACUUAGUUAGUUUUUUUUUUAAAAAAAAAAUUAUUUAAAUUUAUUUUUUUAUAUUUAAAAUUGUUUUGACAUAUUAAUAUUAAAAAAUAUAUUAUUUUCAUAUAUAAAAAAAAAACAUUUCAAAAACUAAUUAACGUUACAUUCUCAAGUACCCUCAAAUGCAUUGCGGGGUGGGUGCGCUCCCUUGGGUUUCCAUAAUUAAUAAUAUGAAAGACAAAAUAGCUCUUUCAAUAAGGUCAGCUCAUGAAAGGAAAAUUGAAUGAUAUGCUUGUUUUAUUAUUCGCUCAUCAGCACAACACCGUAUCAUUAUGCACUAAAAACUAUGAUGGUGUGGUUAGUUUUCGAUCGAUAAUUAAAAUGUUUCUCAGAGUAUAAUUGUAAUUAUUUUUUAAAAUAUUUUUUAUAUUAAAAUAUAUUAAAAUGAUAUAUUUUUUUUAUUUUUUAAAAAUUAUUUUUAAGAUUAAUAUAUCAAAACAAUCCAAAAUAUAUAAAUAAUUUUAAUUUUUUAUAAAAAAAUAGAAUUUAUUAAAAAUACAGGAAUGUAUUAAAAUAAUAUAUUUUUUUUAUUUUUUUUAAAUUAAUUUUAAAAUUAGCACAUCAAAACGAUUUAAAACAUAAAAAAAUAAUUAAUUUUUCAUAACAAAAAAAAUAGAAUUUGUUGGAAACACGGGUUGCCCAUGUUUCCAAACGCAGUCAUAGUCAAUAAUGUAUUUAUUAUUAUUAUUAUUAUUAUACUUUUAAAUUUUUAUUUUUUUUAUUUUUUUUUCUGAUUUUAUGAUGGUGGGGUUGGGUAUUGUCUUAGCAAUUACUAGUUUAUAGGCCGGCUAACGCUGCGACAUGGGUCAAUUUUAAAAAUAAAAUAUGGAAAAAAAUUGUUCAAGAUAAUUAUUUAAUAAUAUUAUUAAAUCUUUUCUAAUAAAUCAACUUUGAAAUCUCUUACUAGUCAGUUACCUCUAUGGACACCUUCUUUGUGAGAUAAAUUCGGUAUUUUAUCAUUUGGGCUAGGCUCAGCCCAUUGGAUCUUCUCUUUAUUACGAAACAGUUUAGUUAGCCUCAUGUAAUUCUUCCUUUUCUUCUCGGUGGUGAUAUUUUCUUCUACUAUCUGUCAGGUCACGCAUUGCCAGUACGUAAUUUGCAUCCAUUUUGUCCUCUUCUAUUUGCCUGGAAGCUAAACAUGCUAUUAUUCCAUGUCUGGGAACUAAGAUGCAUGUAAAACGAGCUAGAAGUGGAGACAUAUGAGGGCCAAAGAAAGAUGAAAAGACUGCUUCCACCGUCCAUUCAUGCAUUGCCCCACGGGCCACUGAUUCUUCAAAUGAAAGUUCUCGUAAACCAGUGGCCUGCAAAAAUUGACGUCAUUUGGCAUUUUCCUUACAAGCCUUUAAUUUCUAAUGAUGGCUAGAUUUUUAUUUGAUGUAGGGCUCAUAAUCCACCACAUCCAACUUCAGAUGACUGCUGUGGAUCAUAUAUGGAUGUGAAGCCUUUCUAGUCAUUAAUUGCAGCUAUCUUUCUUUCAGCCUCACAAAUAGAUAAUGGGGUUCUCUGUUUUGCUGCUUUUAAUGUCAAUCUCAGUUUCUCUACUGCCAAUCUGUGCGAGUGAAGGGAUUAUAGUUUCAGGCAGAUAUAUCACUGCAAAUCAAUCCAUAAUUUCUGCUAGUGGAACAUUUGCUCUAGGUUUCUUUAGUGUGGGAAAUUCAACUCCAAGGUACUAUCUCGGCAUUUGGUAUAACAAAAUUCAGAAGAAAUCUGUUGUCUGGGUUGCGAAUAGAGAAUCCCCUACUGAUUCUCUAGGAACUUUCGCACUCGGGGUCGAUGGAAAUCUAGUGGUUCUGGAUGCAACAGGGAAAAUUGUUUGGUCAUCUAAUGUAAAGAUUGCUCAUUCAGCUAUAAAUAGCAUGAUGGGUGUGCUCAUGGAUAGUGGAAACUUUUUAUUGAGAAGUGGGGAAACCAUCCUGUGGCAGAGCUUUGAUCAUCCGUCGGAUACGUUCUUGCCUGGUAUGAAAGUUGGCAAUAAUCGCAAAACUGGUCAAAGAAAGCAGCUUACGUCUUGGAUAGACGUUGAAGAUCCACAACCAGGAUUAUUCUCUUUCGGCUUGGAUACGACGGGACCUCUGCAGUUUUUCAUAUGGAAGGAUCAUGUUCCUUAUAGCCGAACCAAUGUCUACAGCAACUCUAUGUCAUUAACGAAGUUAUCCCGAUGGCUACCUUUUGCUUAUUACAUUACUGUAAAGUUAGAGGGUGAUGAUAUUUAUCUUUCUUACAGUAUCUCAGAUAUCUCAGCUGUAGUAAGGAUCACACUAGUCCCAAAUGGCGACUUGAGGCUCUGAUAUGGGAGGAGAAAAACAGUCAAUGGUUUUCUAUGUGGCAGUGGCCUAAAGUUUACUGUGAUUUCUAUGGUCAUUGCAGUCCAUUUAGUAGCUGUGACAAAAAAGGUUCUCCAGUUUAUUGCAAAUGUUUGACAGGUUUCCAGCCAAAAGUUCAGCAAGAGUGGCAUAUGACGAAUUGGACCAGUGACACUUGUGUGAGGCAAAAGGCACUAACAUGCGACAAGGGUGAUGGGUUUUUGAAGAUUGAAACUAUCAAAUUACCAGAUCAUUCGUAUCUAGUGGAAAAUAUGAGUGCCAAUGAUUGUGAAUCAAGAUGCCUGCAAAAUUGCUCCUGCACAGCUUAUGCACUUGUCAAUGCAAGUCAAGGAAACUCAGUUAACUGCCUGAGCUGGUAUGGGGACUUGAUGGAUAUUGUACAUGACAUUGAAGGGCAAAUUCUUUACUUUCGUGUUCAUGACAGAGAACUUGGUAUGAUCAUAUAAUUUCAACUAGUUUUAACUUUCUCAACAUCUGCAUUGAGCCUAAUGGAUUAGGACUAAUUGUCCCCUUUAGUGAAUUUCAAUAACAACUAAUCUACCUUUACUUUUAUACGCAGUUGAAAAUGAUGGAAGUAGUGAUAACUUUUCCAGUAGACGCAAGCGCUCUAUUAUAAUUCUAGUAGCAGUAAUUUCUUUAGGGGUUCUUACUGUUCUAUCUGGCUAUUUCAGCUGGAGAAAAAGAUUUGGAAAACAAGGUGUCUUUCCAUACCUUUCUUCAUCAAAUAGAUAAUGAUUAUUGUUGGCUGUCCUGGUUUACUCUGUAGCUUAACAUUAGUUGAUACCUGACAGGGAUAAUUGAAGAGAGUUUUACUGGGACCAGCACCACCAUUGGAGGAGAAGCUGUUAAUGGUGACACGGAGCUGAACAUAUUUAGCUUGAACAGAAUACAGGCUGCCACAAAUUACUUCUCUGAAGAUAAUAAACUGGGAGAGGGUGGUUUUGGCACUGUUUAUAAGGUUUUAUUCCACUUUUAGGAAAUGCUGCUUCCAACUUUUCAAAUUUAGUUGAUUUCAGUUACUUUCUCUUUUCAGAUGAUGUGAUUGGUUUUGUUGAGCAUUUGCUCUGUAGGGAGAUUUGGCAAUUCAAGAAGUUGCAAUAAAAAGGCUUUCUAAGAAAUCUGGACAAGGACUAGAAGAGUUCAUGAAUGAGUCGAAACUUAUUUCUAAGCUCCAACACACUAAUCUCGUGAGACUCUUAGGUUGCUGUGCUGAAGGGGAGGAGAGAAUAUUGGUGUACGAAUACAUGCGGAAUCGAAGCCUGGAUAAGUUUUUGUUUGGUAAACUUCGUUCUCUCCUCUGAACUCCUAAAAUAUGUAGCCAUCCUUGUCUGAACAUCGUCAAUAGCUUGAACACUUACCAAAUUGCAUUACAUUAGGUUUGUUCUACCAUAAUCACAUUGUCAGCUAAUGAUUUCUUCUAUCAGAUCCUUCUGAAAAGGCAAACCUUAAUUGGAGCAAACGUUUUCGAAUCAUCGAGGGCAUUGCUCAAGGUCUACUUUACCUUCACAAGUACUCUAGAUUGAAAGUGAUCCACAGGGACUUAAAGGCAAGUAACAUAUUACUGGAUGAUGCAAUGAAUCCUAAGAUUUCAGAUUUUGGAUUGGCAAGGAUGUUUGGAUCUGACCAAACCGAAGCAGAUACCAAACGGGUGGUUGGUACUUAGUAAGUUUAAAUACCCCACAUAUACUUCUAUUGGCAUCAACCUGAUUCUACUGAUAUUCUAAUUUUCUGCCAUUACUAAUUCAUAUACUUCUGCAGUGGCUACAUGUCACCUGAAUAUGCACAAUAUGGAAAAUUCUCAGAAAAAUCAGAUAUCUUCAGCUUUGGAGUUUUGCUAUUAGAGAUUGUGACCGGUAAGAGAAAUGCUGAAUUUUUUCGCGACGAUCUUCCUCUGACCCUUCAAGGAUGGGUAAGUUGAAAAAAUAAAAGAAAAAAGAAACCUUUUCUUCUGUGUUAUCUCCAUAUAAUAGUUGAUUACUAGUAAAACAAGACAUUAAUGUAUUUAAAAUGCUUCUCAGGCAUGGGAAUUGUGGAAUGAAGCUAGAGGACUAGACCUUAUUGAUCCAUCGAUAAAGGACUCAUGUGAAAGUCCUGACAGAAUUUUCAGGUGCAUCCAUGUAGGGCUUUUGUGUGUUCAGGAAUCUCCAGCUGAUAGACCUCCGAUGCCAUUAGUGGUUCAGAUGUUGAGCAAUGACAAUGCAUCACUUCCUUCUCCAAAAGAACCUGCAUUCUCUAGUCUUAGUCGUCGGAGAUCUAGCAAUUUUGUUGCCUUUCACAACACAUCAACUAUAUAUUCUAACAACGAAUUGACAAUUAGCCUGCCUGAGGCUCGAUAAGACUUUCCAGGUUCUUCAGUUCACUUGACAUGUUUGUACUUUGAAAUUCAUCAAUAUUUCAAGUAUCAAAAUUUACUGGCUCAUAUUGCUUCACAUCCAACUUGAGAUCUUAUUGCAGCUGUGACCAGAAAAAUAUUAGAAAUAUCAACUGCAUCAAAGAAAACAAAUAGUGAAUUUAAAAAAUAAACACAUCAUCAGCUUCAAACCACUAUCAGAAAAUUGGAAAACCCUGACAGGGUAAUCUUUUGAUGUCUAGGAAAACAUUCUGUUAGUAUCUGACUUGUCAAUGAAAUUGUUGAAGGUAAUAUGUUAUCGGCAAGUUUCUCGUCAGGGAUUUACAUUCCAUCAGCAUUUCUGUUGGCAACUUCCAACUCCGAUAAAAAAUGCGGAUGAAAUAUCGACACCUUAAAUGCCAAAAGAACUGUCCAUCGUGAAUUCCGUUGAAAAUGCCAAAACCUUCUACAACUUUCCGAAGAAAUUUGUGCGAACAUUGCCAAUGAAAUGGUUGAUGGAAUCCCAUGUCCAUCACAUAUUUCUUUUUUAUCGUUUAGUUGUUAUAAUUUUAAAUUCACCCUAAAAUCACAAUAACAACAACAACAAAAAUGCAUCUCCAUAACAAAAACUUUAUAAUACAAGUUUCUCCAUUCAUGUAAAUAUUCCAUACACAAAUAUUUUUUAAACAAGACAUAAACUCCUAAAAAAAUAGAGGUUGAGGGAGAGGAAAGUAUCCUGAACCAGAAGGUCCACAGAGAGGGAGUCAAAUGUAAAGCCAUAUAUACAUGUAAUUUUUUCCAAUACCUCUUAUUUUCUUAUUCAAGUUGUGCUCUUAUUUUUUCUCUCUCCAAAUUGGGUAAUUGUACUUCCAGUUGUUCCUGAACCAAUUUUUGGACCAACUGAUCAACAUCUGGUGAUUUCUAGCGUAGGUUGAAAUGUGGUGUGGUUUGCCUCUUGUUGAAACAUAAUGGUCUGCUCUUAUUUAUUAGGUUGUUGCUAUAAACAUAAUACAAUAUAUAAUUUUUGAAUCCCAGAUCAUAAGCACUUUUUAAAACCUUCUGCCACAAAAUCUGGAAACAAUGCUCCAUGAUGUACCCCAGUUUAUAAUUUUUUCAUAUUGCUAUGUCAUUAUAGUCGACUCUAUUAAUUGCUUCGUUGCAGGCAUCAUACCACACAUCAUGUAACAUGAUACAUAAAUUUGUUAAACAGAAAUAAGAUAAGGAAAUAAAAGAAUAAAAAAGUUUACAAUAAUAUAAUUUUCUUUUUUAUUGAUACGUACCUGGUAGCACCGUGGUUUUCGUAUGCUUUCUUGACCAACAUCUGGUUACUAUUGUCCCAACAAAAAAAUUUAUAUUAAAUUCAUACGUUAAUUACUUUUCAAAAUUUAAAUAAUUAUUAACUUAAAUUGGAGAUCAUUUAUCUAACAUUAAUUUUUUUCCCAUCAAGCUUAAUUAUACCUUAUUCAUCCAUUUAGAAUGCUCAUGAAGUUGAUUCUGUUGAAACAAUAGUUCUUCGAACAAUAAUUUAAUCAUAGAUGGGAUCGAAUAGGCAACUUCGAACAAUAGCAGUUGACUCUAUUGAUAUUUUCUUACAAAAAAGAUAGGUAUUCUUGGUUAAAUCAGAACUAGCUUAGUGUAUGAAGAGAAAAUCCCACCUUCCCUAGUUCAAGUAUAGAAUCACUUUGACUCUUUUCCACGAUCUUCAGGUUGAUAUUUUCUUCUCUAGUUUCCUUCAGAUCCAUUCUCAGCUGAAAUGUCCUUCAAGGUGGAAUUUGCUUUUCUUUAGUUCUUCCGUCUCUGCCUUCAGUUUUUCCACCUCUUCCUGCAAAUUAGAUAGGAAAAGAAAUGAAUAUGAGUUAUGUACGAGGAAAGAAAAAUAAAGAAAAUCACCACAAAGCAGUACUAGAGAGGGGUAAUAUUUGGCUGGCUACUUACCUUCUUUUUCUCACGUUGAUCUUUGCUUCUCUCCGCUGCGCUUUUCUUCCCAGCUCGGGGCCGCUUUGUUGAUCUCCGGUGUGAUUUUCUUCCGCUUAUGCCCAGAGCCUGCGUGUUUGAACGUGUAUGCAUGAGCUGCUUUGGGGCAGGCAUGCAUGAAUACUAUUACAGUUAACUUUUUUCCUUCUUUUUUCAAUUGUAUUCCUGAUUUAAUCCCUAACUUAGGUUAUCUGUAUAAAUUGUUAAUUUUCCUAUAAAAAUGGUCCACUAACCUUGUUUUUGGUAUCUGUUUGACUUGGAAUUAUAAUUGAAAAAAUAGCUAAUAAACCAAUUACAAUGAUAUUAUAAUUAGCUUAGGUCACCAAUACAAAUCAAAACGGUCAUGCAACAUUGUGGACCAUUCAUCAUUUAUGGUUUUGAUUUUUGAUGAUAAUAAAAUAUAUAAUUAAUAAAAUCUAAAUAUAUGUUUAUGUUUAUGUUUUACAUUGCUGACUUAAAUAUCAAACAAGCAUAAAAGAUCGAGUUUAUGACUUUAUAUGUUUGUAUUGAUACGAAGGAAGAAUGGCAGAGGUAAGUUAUGUUUUGACUUGACCAAUGAUUUUAUAUGAAUAAGUAAAUUUUAUGAUUGUGGAUAUAUUACCUGUUGUUGUUACUGAUAUUAUCUUGUGCAAGAAAUUUAAGAUAUACAAAUUGUUUAUGAGUUUAACAUGUGAGAUUAGCUCAAGUAUAAUGAAGCAACCAAAUUAAGUUAUUUAAAGAAUCAUUAAAGAUCAUUGGAAAAGAUCUCUCUAUAUAUAUAUAUAUAUAAAAAAAAACAAUGAAAGAGCAAGUGAAGUGUUAUCAUUUUUCAAAGAGUCAUGAUAUCAAAUUCUUAUCCUCUUAAUUAUUUGUGAUAAGUAAUCAUUGAAAAGAGGUCUAUAAUAUUUAAUUAUGUGUUUUCAUAUACUAAUCUUGAUCAUAUUUUUGUGAAAUAAAUAAUUGAAAAAAUUACUAAUGUUAUAAUGUUUGUUUUGAAAUAAGUAAUCAUUGAAAAGAGGUUUAUUUUGUUAAGAUUUUUUUGAUGAUAUUAAUAAUGUUAUAAUCAAGAUUACAAUGAUGAUAUUAAUUUUUUUAUGGCCUCUGAGCCAAAAUCUUGGCCAACAAGCUGUAAAAUUAAUUCGAUGCGGAUGCGGCCAGGUUACUGGAACAAGAAGAGAGGUGUUUGAAGGAGACUUUUUAACUCCUAUUGUAGACACGUUUACGUUUUCAAUUAAAAAUAUUGUAUUUAUACAUGCGAUUUGUUUUAAGAUUGGUACGUAGAAAGUGUGGAUGCCAGCUGUUUUAAUUUGGUAGUAAAAUGGCCUUGAGUUAUUUAAUAUAUAUUGUUUUUAAUUUUUAAGUUUUUAAUACUUAUGAUUUGUCAAUUAACUAUAUCUCUAUUUUACUUCGUAAGCAUGUUAUAAUUAAUGGAUUGAGAACACUUGAAUUCACUCAUAAAUAAUUUAUCAUGUGCAAGACAUAAUUCAUUUUAUAUUUAGCGCACACACUUUUCUAAAUGUUUUCCUAUUCGAGUGGUAAAAUUCAAUUUUGUCCUUACAAAUUCAUCAACAUUAUACUUUUAUCCUUAAAUUCUUAAUUUUCAAAUAUUACCCUUCCACUUUUCAAAAAGUUUUCAUGAAACUUCUAACCAUGAAAUGACAAACUUGUUUUUAUUUGGAUGUUUAGGAUCUUUAAGUGUUUUUUUUGUGAGAUAUAGUGAAGCAUAUAUGAGGAAUCGGGGGGGAUCAGAGAAAAGUAAGAAAUAUAAAGGAAGUCAAGAGCAAGCUUUUUGUUAUUUAUUAAGGGGAAGAAUAGAAAGUUAGAAGAAGUAUAGGGAUAAUUAAUAUUAGGAAAUUAUUAAACUAUAUAGGGGUAGGACUUAGGAGUGCAGCUACUUCAUGAAGCACUAUUUUAUUGAAUCCUUCGAUAUAUAUCGAACGAUUUGCUUUAGAAAUCGAUUGAUCCGUUGGCCGGCUGUUUCAUGGCCUUGCCCAAAUGGGAUUAUUUAUCAGCUGUAGCCUCUCCCUCCCUCUCCAGAAAAAAAGAAAAAAAAAACACUGAAAUUGCAUAUCUUCAGGAGGUUCGAAGAUGGCGGGGAAUUUAGGGAAGAAGAUUUCCAGUUCGGUUCAGGGUGUUCAAGAUCCAAGUACCAUCGGUAAGUCAAAUAAUUGUUGUUAUAUUUAGUAGUUUUCAUUUUAUAAACCAUUUAAUCUUUCAUAAUUUUCACACUAUAUUAUAAGAAAAAACACUGAAAUUGUAUAUCUUCAGGACGUUCGAAGCUGGCAGGGAAUUUGGAGAAGGAGGAUCCCAGUUCGGUUCAGGAUGUUCAAGAUCCAAGUGUCACCGGUAAGUCAAAUAAUUGUGGUCAUAUUUAGUAGUUUUGAUUUUAUAAACCAUUUAAUAUUUCAUAAUUUCGAUACUAUAUUAUAAGACUAUUCAAUCUUUUGGAUUUUUACUUCACCUAUUUAAAAUCUCUUGGAGUUGAAUGAUAUAUGUUCUCGUGUUUUUUGUUUGGCUAAAUACAUAGAUGCAUGGUUAGAUCUAGUUAGAUGGAUGAAUAUAUGAUAAGGAAAUGUUUUAAGCAUCCGAUCUGUUGAAUCUCUCACUGUUUCAGCUCAAGCUAAGUUCUAUAUAAUUAUGCCUGGGUUUCAUGCGAAACCCAUUUGUUGCCUUUUGACUAGCUCUGCAAACCCAAACAAAGUCCUUGAAUUGGCUAAUCCGCUUGAUUCAAUUAGAUAAUUAAUUCAUCGAUCCAAGUCCGGAUGAAAAAGGGAGGAAGCCCGUUUGAUUUUGCAACAAUGGGUGGAUGAUUGAU
RNAcentral lists this long non-coding RNA (13570 nucleotides) under Populus tremula. RNAcentral describes it as "long non-coding RNA (PTRE_LNC003170)". Lineage: Eukaryota; Viridiplantae; Streptophyta; Magnoliopsida; Malpighiales; Salicaceae. The record is from RNAcentral.